UACGUAGGGGGCAAGCGUUGUCCGGAUUUAUUGGGCGUAAAGAGCUCGUAGGCGGUUUGUCGCGUCUGCUGUGAAAACUCAGGGCUUAACCCUGAGCCUGCAGUGGGUACGGGCAGACUAGAGUGUGGUAGGGGAGAUCGGAAUUCCUGGUGUAGCGGUGGAAUGCGCAGAUAUCAGGAGGAACACCGGUGGCGAAGGCGGAUCUCUGGGCCAUAACUGACGCUGAGGAGCGAAAGCAUGGGGAGCGAACAGG
This 253-nucleotide ribosomal RNA is filed under the name uncultured bacterium. RNAcentral describes it as "partial 16S ribosomal RNA". It matches the Rfam family "Bacterial small subunit ribosomal RNA", at positions 524 to 776 of the family's 1533-position model. The record is from RNAcentral.